This 69-nucleotide transfer RNA is filed under the name Chelon carinatus (keeled mullet). RNAcentral's name for it is "tRNA-His". It matches the Rfam family "tRNA". Rfam says of the family: Transfer RNA (tRNA) molecules are approximately 80 nucleotides in length. Their secondary structure includes four short double-helical elements and three loops (D, anti-codon, and T loops). The record is from RNAcentral. Lineage: Eukaryota; Metazoa; Chordata; Actinopteri; Mugiliformes; Mugilidae.
GUGGAUAUAGUUUAAAUAAGACAUUAGAUUGUGAUUCUAAAAAUAGGGGUUAAAGCCCCCUUAUCUACC